GUGAGCGCUGGAUCAUCGGGCCGAGCGCGCUGUUGCCCACGGCGCGCUGGAGAGCGCCCAUCCCGGCGACGCCGAUCACAUCGGCCCGCCCUCC
RNAcentral lists this transfer RNA (94 nucleotides) under Streptomyces sp. S4.7. RNAcentral's name for it is "tRNA-Gly". The record is from RNAcentral. Lineage: Bacteria; Bacillati; Actinomycetota; Actinomycetes; Kitasatosporales; Streptomycetaceae.